RNAcentral lists this ribosomal RNA (468 nucleotides) under uncultured bacterium. RNAcentral describes it as "partial 16S ribosomal RNA". It matches the Rfam family "Bacterial small subunit ribosomal RNA", at positions 28 to 507 of the family's 1533-position model. The record is from RNAcentral.
GAUGAACGCUGGCGGCGUGCUUAACACAUGCAAGUCGAACGGAAAGGCCCAAGCUUGCUUGGGUACUCGAGUGGCGAACGGGUGAGUAACACGUGGGUGAUCUGCCCUGCACUUCGGGAUAAGCCUGGGAAACUGGGUCUAAUACCGGAUAGGACCACGUCUUGGAUGUUGUGGUGGAAAGUUUUUUCGGUGUGGGAUGAGCUCGCGGCCUAUCAGCUUGUUGGUGGGGUAAUGGCCUACCAAGGCGUCGACGGGUAGCCGGCCUGAGAGGGUGUACGGCCACAUUGGGACUGAGAUACGGCCCAGACUCCUACGGGAGGCAGCAGUGGGGAAUAUUGCACAAUGGGCGCAAGCCUGAUGCAGCGACGCCGCGUGGGGGAUGACGACCUUCGGGUUGUAAACUCCUUUCGCUAGGGACGAAGCGUUUUUGUGACGGUACCUGGAGAAGAAGCACCGGCUAACUACGUG